This 360-nucleotide ribosomal RNA is filed under the name Microbacterium sp. 088-2.1-CV-A-06. Its description in RNAcentral is "bacterial SSU rRNA". It matches the Rfam family "Bacterial small subunit ribosomal RNA", at positions 75 to 434 of the family's 1533-position model. The record is from RNAcentral. Lineage: Bacteria; Bacillati; Actinomycetota; Actinomycetes; Micrococcales; Microbacteriaceae.
UGAGCUUGCUCUUGUGGAUCAGUGGCGAACGGGUGAGUAACACGUGAGCAACCUGCCCCGGACUCUGGGAUAAGCGCUGGAAACGGCGUCUAAUACUGGAUAUGAGACGUGACCGCAUGGUCAACGUUUGGAAAGAUUUUUCGGUCUGGGAUGGGCUCGCGGCCUAUCAGCUUGUUGGUGAGGUAAUGGCUCACCAAGGCGUCGACGGGUAGCCGGCCUGAGAGGGUGACCGGCCACACUGGGACUGAGACACGGCCCAGACUCCUACGGGAGGCAGCAGUGGGGAAUAUUGCACAAUGGGCGAAAGCCUGAUGCAGCAACGCCGCGUGAGGGAUGACGGCCUUCGGGUUGUAACACUCU